AAGUUGUUGAGAUGAGGUGUAAAUAGAUAUAUUUUGGUUUGGAUUUAUAAUUGCAAAUUUUGGCUGACACAACCCUAUUCAGACCCUUGUAAAUCAGUUUGAAUCAAGUGAACUUGAUUAUAGGAUGAUUUUACUUGUUUAUGAGAUGAUUUUGAAUGGGCUAUGAAUCUACCAAUGGUAUGUAGUUGUCAAAGUUCAUUUAUUAUUGAGUAUUAUUGUUCAUUUACUGCAUUUAACUUGGCACAAAUACCUGCAAAUGUCCACAGACACCUUGACACGAAUGCUGGUAACAACUUGUCAUGGAUUGUGAUUAUAUAAACUUCAGCUCCAUACUUUAUCAUAUCUUAAUUUGUAGACAGAUUUUCUAUCAGAUCCAUUGCUUCAUAUAAAUGAUUGUUUUCAGGUAUGUUUCUUACGUCGUUGGUAUUUUAAUUCCACAGAAUUAUAGACACAUUUUGGAUAGCAAUGCAGCAAUGCCUAAGAGAUUUAAGUGCAGAAAAGGAAGCAAUGCAAGUGCUCUGUGGAGGUGAUCUCCUUCCGCAAUGGCACCGUAAGAGGGGCCUGAGGAGACAUCAAGCUUGCAUAUAUGGUACCACUCUCACUCUCUCUUCUUCUCAUCCUCUAUCUUACUCUCUCCCUCUUUGUUUGAUAGCAAGACAGUUAAAUGAGAAGAAAAUCACAUAACAAUCACAUGAUCCUAUUACUCGGCGCCAAUAGCCUUGCCAUCCCCUAUCUUACCCCUUGCACGUGACAGUCACCUGAUGUUUAGAAUGGUUACAUUGUCAAAAAAUUAAUUGAAAGUUAAGGUGCUUAACGAAAAUUUUCAAGGGGUUGUAUGUGCAAAAGGAUCAAAGCCUAUGGGUGUAGUUGUAGCUUUUACUCUAUUCUUUUAUCAAUACUUGUCGUUCACUUGUAAUUUUGUUAGAAAAAAUGCCCAAAUCUUUACCUUCACCACUGCCAAUUGUUGUGGCCAUCUCCUUUUUCCACCACCCUCCACCACCGUGACCUCGUCCUUUGCACCAAUACUGCGACUCCACCGUCUUCUUGCUCUGUUGUUUUUGAUGGCCAUGAACACACCCCUUCCCUCCUCAUUUUUCAGCCAUCUUCCCAACCCCCUCCUCUAUUCAUUGGCAUGACCACAACUCCUUACUCCACCCACUGCUGACAGUCUCCCCUCCUCGCUUUGCGACAUGUUGCCGCCAAGAUACCUGAAAACCAAUAACACUAGUUUGAGGAAAAAAGAGCUUACUAAUAAGAUGAAGACAAUGUGAUAUGUCUAGGGCACCAUCCUUAAUGGGAUGAGAUAUGUAUAUUAUAUUAUAUAGAAUCUUUACAAGGGACUAGUUAUACAAUUAUAGGCACAACUAUAGUGAUAUGACAAAGAUAUGCCAUAAUCACAAAGAUUGGUCAACUGUACAACAUCAUAAGGAAUUACAUAUCAUGAUUUGUUUCCUUGCAUACCAUUAUUUAUUUCCUUUAGAAUAGGAGCAAAUCUUGGUAGGAUCAAUGGGUGUGCUUUGUGAACAAAUCUGGUGGUGUUAAUAGGUGAUCUGCUAUUAUGACCCCUCAAGUGAAAUCAAACACAAUGAUGUUGAGCUUGGAUUGAAGUUGAGUGAACUAUGUUGUGGUGAGACCCUUGAUAAAUAUAUCAGUUAAUUGAUCAAUUGUACCAACAGAGUGAACCUGAAUAUCACGACAUAUAAUUGGCUUUUGAACAAAGUCAUAGUCCACUUCGAUAUAUUUUGUACUAUCAUGAUAAAUUGGACUAGAAGCAAGAUAUGUAGAACUAAUGUUGUCACAAUAAAAAGUUAGUGGUGAAGAGAGGAAGACACAAAGAUCUUUCAAUAACAUGCGGAUCGAUGACAAUUUAGCUGCGGUGUGAACCAAGGAGUGAUAUUUAGAUGGAAUACUAGAUGGGCAAUAGUAGCCUGUUUCUUGGCACUCCAGAAUAUUAAGUUGAGACUAAAGAGCACACAACAAACACUAGUGGAUUGAUUAUCUAGAUCACCAACCUAGUUAACAUCAAGGUAUGCUUUUAAUUAAGUAGAACUAUAAGAAAAGUAUAACCUAUGUGUAAUGGAGCUCUUGAGAUAGUGCAAAAUGCACUUCACAACGGCCUAGCAAACUAUGCAUGAAGCAUGCAUAUAUUGGCUAACUUGGUUGACCCACAAAUGCAAUGUCAGAUCUUGUGAAAGUUGAGUAUUGAAGAGCCCCAAUGGUACUUACUAUAUUUAGUAGGAUCUGGCAAGGGAUUGCCUUCAUGAAUGGAGAGUAUAGAGCUUUGAGUUACUGGAGAACUCAACAGUUUAGCUCCGACCAUUUUUGUCUUGUGAAGA
RNAcentral lists this long non-coding RNA (2336 nucleotides) under Phoenix dactylifera (date palm). RNAcentral's name for it is "long non-coding RNA (PDAC_LNC004563)". Lineage: Eukaryota; Viridiplantae; Streptophyta; Magnoliopsida; Arecales; Arecaceae. The record is from RNAcentral.